UACGUAGGGAGCAAGCGUUGUCCGGAAUCAUUGGGCGUAAAGAGCGUGUAGGCGGCCCGAUAAGUCCGCUGUGAAAGUCCAGGGCUCAACCCUGGAAUGCCGGUGGAUACUGUCGGGCUCGAAUCCGGAAGAGGUGAGUGGAAUUCCUGGUGUAGCGGUGAAAUGCGCAGAUAUCAGGAGGAACACCAGUGGCGAAGGCGGUGGUCUGGGCCGGAACUGACGCUGUAGAGCGAAAGCGUGGGGAGCGAACAGG
RNAcentral lists this ribosomal RNA (253 nucleotides) under uncultured bacterium. RNAcentral describes it as "partial 16S ribosomal RNA". It matches the Rfam family "Bacterial small subunit ribosomal RNA", at positions 524 to 776 of the family's 1533-position model. The record is from RNAcentral.